RNAcentral lists this ribosomal RNA (229 nucleotides) under Staphylococcus warneri. RNAcentral describes it as "partial 16S ribosomal RNA". It matches the Rfam family "Bacterial small subunit ribosomal RNA", at positions 1 to 228 of the family's 1533-position model. Lineage: Bacteria; Bacillati; Bacillota; Bacilli; Caryophanales; Staphylococcaceae. The record is from RNAcentral.
AAAUUGAAGAGUUUGAUCAUGGCUCAGAUUGAACGCUGGCGGCAGGCCUAACACAUGCAAGUCGAGCGGUAGCACAGAGAGCUUGCUCUCGGGUGACGAGCGGCGGACGGGUGAGUAAUGUCUGGGAAACUGCCUGAUGGAGGGGGAUAACUACUGGAAACGGUAGCUAAUACCGCAUAACGUCGCAAGACCAAAGAUGGGUACCUUCGGGCCUCUUGCCAUCGGAUGU